GGAAUCUUCCACAAUGGGCGAAAGCCUGAUGGAGCAACGCCGCGUGUGUGAUGAAGGCUUUCGGGUCGUAAAGCACUGUUGUACGGGAAGAACAGCUAGAAUAGGAAAUGAUUUUAGUUUGACGGUACCAUACCAGAAAGGGACGGCUAAAUACGUGCAAG
This 161-nucleotide ribosomal RNA is filed under the name uncultured bacterium. Its description in RNAcentral is "partial 16S ribosomal RNA". It matches the Rfam family "Bacterial small subunit ribosomal RNA", at positions 358 to 511 of the family's 1533-position model. The record is from RNAcentral.